CAGUAGCCGCGGGAAAACGAAGGGGGCUAGCGUUGUUCGGAAUUACUGGGCGUAAAGCGCACGUAGGCGGAUAUUUAAGUCAGGGGUGAAAUCCCGCAGCUCAACUGCGGAACUGCCUUUGAUACUGGGUAUCUUGAGUAUGGAAGAGGUUAGUGGAAUUGCGAGUGUAGAGGUGAAAUUCGUAGAUAUUCGCAGGAACACCAGUGGCGAAGGCGGCUAACUGGUCCAUAACUGACGCUGAGGUGCGAAAGCGUGGGGAGCAAACAGGAUUAGAUACCCCCGUAGUCCCUGUCUCUUAUAC
Molecule: ribosomal RNA, 301 nt
Filed under: uncultured bacterium
Lineage: Bacteria
Description: partial 16S ribosomal RNA
Rfam family: Bacterial small subunit ribosomal RNA
Source: RNAcentral